Molecule: non-coding RNA, 1203 nt
Organism: Macaca mulatta (Rhesus monkey)
Lineage: Eukaryota; Metazoa; Chordata; Mammalia; Primates; Cercopithecidae
Source: RefSeq, a predicted model, not a curated record
UAAGUGAGGAGGUUUAAGGCUGAGAGAAGGGGAGUGAAGCAACUGGCUGGACAUCCCAAAGUUAGGUGGCCCUGAGAGCCAGGUCAGAACCCAGAGCUCUGGUGACCGGUACUCUCUGCCAGGUAUCCCUGGAACCAGGGAUUCACAGCCAGGCCAGAGCCCAUGAGGGACUUGCUCUAUGGACCUACGAGUCAGCAGCACUGACUGGCAUUGUUUUUCUUCACUUCAGUUUGAAUAGAAGUGUUCAGAGGGGACACCAACAAGUGGUGGGAACAAGCCACACCUAGCCUGGUGGAAAAACUAGCUCCUCCAAGUGACUAAAGGCUCAAGUUUCAAUGUUGCUCUGAGCACUAAGUACUCUCAGGUGGUGAUGGGCGAUGGCCAUGAACUUGAAGGAUGAAUACAAGGAACACAGAAAACCCCUUUUCAACCAAACCACAAGCUUUGGAUGUGCUGUCCAUUCAAAUGAGCAACUCUGAAAAAUCAGUUUUCUUGGGAGAUCCUGAGCUCUUUUGGCAAAGUGAGUAGAGGCAGAGAGAAUCAAGAUUAGGGGACUCUGUAGGGAAGUGAGUCUCCUUGCCAACAGCUGGGUUUUAGGAAUUAGUUGCUCCAAUGAAUGGGAUGAGUGAUUCUGAAACUUUGCUCAAGGUGGGGUUGCUGGAGCCAGGCGGGGAGACUGUGCUGCCAGAAAGGAGAUGGUCACUGGGAGACAGAAAUGGGCUCUCCCUGAGCAAUCAGAUACCUGAAAUACAAUCCAGCAUGAAAUAUUCAGAAUGCAACUACUUUUCAUCAUGGCCACUGCCACCAUACUGGUCCAAGCCAUCAUCAUCAGUGCCUGGAUUAUCCCAACAGUCUCCCAAGAGGGGUCUUGCUUCCACACUUGUGUUGCCUGCCCAUCUAUUCUCAACAGAGCAGCCAUGGUGAUCUUUUCAUAAUGACUCUCCACUUUACUAAAGCAUAAGGUCCUUACAACGGUCUAUAGGGCCCUAUAUUUUCUGUCUGUUGUGACUUCUGACUUCCUCUCCAUCCCUUGCUCAUACAGCCCUCCUGCUAGUUCUUAAACUUGCCCACCAUGUUCCUACUUCUUCAGGGUCUCUGCACUUUGCUGCUGCCCCUGCUGCCUCAGAUAUGCCUUCCCCAGAUUCCCAUCCAGUUUGUUCCUGCAUCUCCUUCAGGCCUCUGAUUAAAAUCCCUCUUCUCUGA